CAACCUUUCCAGGCCAAGCAUGACCUAGACUGGAUGUGCCAGCACCCUGUCCGGCCAAAUCUUAACAGCAUCCAGUGCUGGGGAAACCUUCACUUCUGGG
Strigops habroptila (Kakapo) is the source of this 100-nucleotide long non-coding RNA. RefSeq lists it as uncharacterized. The record is from RefSeq and is a predicted model, not a curated record. The transcript has 3 exons. Lineage: Eukaryota; Metazoa; Chordata; Aves; Psittaciformes; Psittacidae.